UGAGGCUCUGCCUUGAGUUAACUGCACUAGGCACUCUGAGAGAUCAUAUAAGAGAAAUAAGACUUGGCUUUUCCUUUGACGAGUUUUUAGUAGAGUUACUGGACUCUGGUAGAAACUGUCUCAUACAGCCUGAAAUCCCAGUAUGAUGCUGGUAUGAUGCUUGGGACAAAGCAGACACUCAGUGAACAAUGUCAACAACAUUAAGUGUAACUUCUUGUAUCUGGGCUAGUGGACUGGCUCCAGAUUGGUCCUUCAAGUGCUUCCCCCACAACCCCCUCCAAAUCUGCCAGCCCAGCAACUCAGUCUACAAGAAUUACUCCCAAUGACCCAUCAAACUAUAUGAUGGUUAGCCAGGAACAAAAGCCACUAGGAAAAUAAAGCAUCAAUUUCCAACCGGGUGUUUCAAAAGGAACUGAGGUAUUAAAAUAAGGUCACAGUUGUCCCAAUCAGAUCAUCUUUUCAAAGAAAUUGCAGGCUUGUGAGCCAACAGCAACCACAUACACCUUUGGAGUCAUCAGAACCAGUGUUCUCAACACUGAAAGCAAAAUCAAGUAAACAAGGCUGUGUCGU
Molecule: long non-coding RNA, 570 nt
Filed under: Bos taurus (domestic cattle)
Lineage: Eukaryota; Metazoa; Chordata; Mammalia; Artiodactyla; Bovidae
Description: long non-coding RNA NONBTAT018682
Source: RNAcentral